CCUACGGGAGGCAGCAGUGGGGAAUAUUGGACAAUGGGGGGAACCCUGAUCCAGCCAUGCCGCGUGUGUGAAGAAGGCCCUCGGGUUGUAAAGCACUUUCAGUGAGGAAGAACGCCUGGUGGUUAAUACCCAUCAGGAAAGACAUCACUCACAGAAGAAGCACCGGCUAACUCCGUGCCAGCAGCCGCGGUAAUACGGAGGGUGCGAGCGUUAAUCGGAAUUACUGGGCGUAAAGCGCGCGUAGGUGGCUUGAUAAGCCGGUUGUGAAAGCCCCGGGCUCAACCUGGGAACGGCAUCCGGAACUGUCAAGCUAGAGUGCAGGAGAGGAAGGUAGAAUUCCCAGUGUAGCGGUGAAAUGCGUAGAGAUCGGGAGGAAUACCAGUGGCGAAGGCGGCCUUCUGGACUGACACUGACACUGAGGUGCGAAAGCGUGGGUAGCAAACAGGAUUAGAUACCCUGGUAGUC
RNAcentral lists this ribosomal RNA (465 nucleotides) under Vreelandella stevensii. Its description in RNAcentral is "partial 16S ribosomal RNA". It matches the Rfam family "Bacterial small subunit ribosomal RNA", at positions 338 to 795 of the family's 1533-position model. The record is from RNAcentral. Lineage: Bacteria; Pseudomonadati; Pseudomonadota; Gammaproteobacteria; Oceanospirillales; Halomonadaceae.